RNAcentral lists this ribosomal RNA (509 nucleotides) under uncultured bacterium. RNAcentral's name for it is "bacterial SSU rRNA". It matches the Rfam family "Archaeal small subunit ribosomal RNA", at positions 339 to 851 of the family's 1478-position model. The record is from RNAcentral.
UCGCGAAAACUUCGCAAUAAGCGAAAGCUUGACGGGGCCAUCCCGAGUGCCAUCUGCUGAGGAUGGCUUUUACCCAGUAUAGAUAGCUGGGGGAAUAAGGAGAGGGCAAGUCUGGUGUCAGCCGCCGCGGUAAUACCAGCUCUCCGAGUUGUGGGGACGUUUAUUGAGCCUGAAGCAUCCGUAGCCGGCUGGGCUAGUCCCCUGUUAAAUCCAGCGAUAAAUCGUUGGCCUGCGGGGGAUACUGCUCGGCUAGGGGGCGGGAGAGGCCGUCGGUAUUCUUGGGGUAGGGGUGAAAUCCUAUAAUCCCAGGGGGACCACCAGUGGCGAAGGCUGUCGGCUAGAACGCGCUCGACGGUGAGGGAUGAAAGCUGGGGGAGCGAACCGGAUUAGAUACCCGGGUAGUCCCAGCUGUAAACGAUGCAGGCUAGGUGUUAGGGCGGCUACGUGCCGCUCUAGUGCCGCAGGGAAGCUGUUAAGCCUGCCGCUUGGGGAGUACGGCCGCAAGGCUG